AGAAUCAACGCUGGCGGCGUGCCUAACACAUGCAAGUCGCACGAGAAAGGGGGGCAAUCCCUGAGUACAGUGGCGCACGGGUGAGUAACACGUGAAUAAUCUACCUCCGAGUGGGGAAUAACUGAGAGAAAUCUUAGCUAAUACCGCAUAACACUUACGAGUCAAAGCAGCAAUGCGCUUGGAGAGGAGUUCGCGGCCGAUUAGUUAGUUGGCGGGGUAAUGGCCCACCAAGACGAUGAUCGGUA
Molecule: ribosomal RNA, 245 nt
Filed under: uncultured bacterium
Lineage: Bacteria
Description: partial small subunit ribosomal RNA
Rfam family: Bacterial small subunit ribosomal RNA
Source: RNAcentral